Non-coding RNA from Rattus norvegicus (Norway rat), 2375 nucleotides. The record is from RefSeq and is a predicted model, not a curated record. Lineage: Eukaryota; Metazoa; Chordata; Mammalia; Rodentia; Muridae.
AGCUGGGGAGAGGGGGCGGGGCCAGAAGGAACAAAGAGAGGCUGGGCGGGGCCGCGGGUCGGAGCCCGCACCCCGGACCCUGUGCUGACCUGGUUUUGGGCUGGGCUCAGCGCCCACGUGGACUCGGUUCAGCGGUACUCAGUGCUCAUCUCAAAGCUAGAAUAUUGGUUCUAAAGGAAAACUGAGGCUCAAGGAACAAUAUCUCCUGCCAUCCGAAUUACAAUCUUCAUAGCCUGUCCGUCUUCUGGCCACUCAGCAAACAUUUCGAGGUGUGUCGGUAUUGUUAGGAAAGAAAGAGAAAAAAAACUCCCUUUAGGUGCUGUACCGAGCUGGUCUGUCUCUCUGUCGCACUUCGGGAGCCCAGUAUUAAUCUAGUCCCUUUCUGCUCAGAGCCUUGAUUUUUCUUUUUUCCAUCCCCUCCACCAGGCAUGACUCCUAUUCUACCUACCAUUUCCAUUUAUCCAUAUCUGAAUUAUCUUUAAAACCUGCCCAAGCUUUAGAAAACUGUUCUGGAAGGUAUCUCUACAACAUUCGUGGAUUUCCCUCUAUUCCACAACCUGUCCCUCCUCCCCUCCAAGACUUCCCCUCUGCCUCUGACACGAGGCCUUGUGAUCAGGGCUUGAGCCAAUAACAUCCUUCUCUUGGCAUGGAUACCCUCACCAGAAGCCUGUAUCCACUGCAGGACCCAAUCCAACCAUCAGUGACUUCCACCAGACCUCAGUUAGACUGCCCAAAAAUUACAAACCUCUUAACUUCCAGAGAUAGGCCAGCCUGCCCUUCCUAGGUGAGACUCCUCAGUGCACACUAGAGUCUGGGUAGAGCCUCAGUCCUCCUGUCAGACUCUCCGAGCCAACAGAUGAUCUGCUUGCCUAGACACUGGGCCCCCUUGGUACAGCCCUUUCCUCGUGAGAGAAGAACUAGCCUUGGGGAUGGUUUUAAUUGGUGUGGUUAGUGUUCAUUGUCAACUUGAUGGGACAGCCUGGAAAGGAUUACCCCAUAUCGGGGCAUGCACAUACAGAGAGCAGUUACCUAGAUUUUGGUUAAGGUGGGAAGACUAAUAAACACUAAAGGCAGGUAGCACCAGUCACUGGGCUCAGGCCUUGGUCUGUAUGAAAAGGAGAUUGCAGCCGAGGACAGGUGUUCAUCGACCUGGGCUUCUUGAAGGUGAGUGUGGUGUGACCAGCGGCCUCCAGCUCCUGAACCACAGCUAGAGAGCUGUGGGCCAAAAGAAACCUUUCUUUCCUAAGUUGCUUUCGCCCGGGUAUUUUAUCAGUGCAAGAGAAAUAACUAAGACGCUCCGGAACACCAUCCUGCUGUAAGAGCCAGUGCUGGGACAAAGAAGAAGAAUGGCCAGAAGAGGACAUCGGAUCCCACUACAGAUGGUCGUGAGCCAUGAGCCAUGGUUGCUGGGAAUUGAACUCAGGACCUCUGGAAGAGCAGCCAGUGCUCUUAACCGCUGAGCCAUCUCUCCAGCUUAGUUUCAGGGAGACAGCAUUGUAGGUUCUUAUUCUUUUCGAAUCCCAGUGCAAUGUGUACAUUGUCUUCCUUUAAUUACAUUUCGCACAACACACCCCCAAAUCUAACAGGACUCCUGUGAAUGCUGGCAAAACCACGACAUCAUGCUUCAUUGCUCCCUGGAACAAUGCAACAAAUGGUUGUUUGUCUAAUUCAAGCAAUAUGUGUAAGCUGUGUUGAUUAUACAAUCCCACUUCCAGUUUCUAGGGUUUAGUGAUUCCCCCAGGGCUGAAGAGGUGGCUCAGUCAUUAAGAAUGUGCACCUUCGAUCAGAGGAUCAGAGUUCAGAAUUCAGUUGAGGCAGCUUACAAACGCCUGUAACUCCAGCUCAGUGAUUCUCAAUCUUCCUGAUGCUGUGACCCUUUCAUACACUACCUCCUGUUGUGGUGACCCCCAAUCAUAAAAUCAUUUUGUUGCUAUUUCAUGACUGUAAUUUUUGUAUGGUUAUGAAUCGUGAUGAACAUAUCUGAUACGCAGAAUUUCUAACAUGUGGCCCACAAAAGGGUUGAGAACUACUGCUCCAGCUCCAAGGGAUCCAACGCCCCCUUCUGGCCUCCAUGAGUAUCUGCACAGAUGCACACGUUGAAGUAAAGCUUUCCCAACGGUACAUAGCUAAUAGCACAUGGUCUGUAGAGAUGUUUAUGUGAUAUAUCUUACUUGUAAUCCCAAAGGGGAGAAAGCAGAGGCAGGGGCAUUCCCAGUACUUUCUGGCCAGUCAGCCUAGCCUAAUCAGUGAGCCACAGUGAUGAGAGACCCUGUCUCAACAACAAUGAGGAAACGGCAAGUCUGCAGAGAGAUGGUACAGUGGUUAAGAACACUGGCUGCUUGCUCUUGCAAAAGACCCAGGUUUGGUUCCCAGCA